CACGUAGGGCGCAAGCGUUGUCCGGAAUUAUUGGGCGUAAAGAGCUCGUAGGCGGUCUGUUACGUCUGCUGUGAAAACCCGGGGCUUAACCCUGGGCUUGCAGUGGAUACGGGCAGACUAGAGGCAGGUAGGGGAGAAUGGAAUUCCCGGUGUAGCGGUGAAAUGCGCAGAUAUCGGGAGGAACACCGGUGGCGAAGGCGGUUCUCUGGGCCGAUACUGACGCUGAGGAGCGAAAGCGUGGGGAGCGAACAGG
This 253-nucleotide ribosomal RNA is filed under the name uncultured bacterium. RNAcentral describes it as "partial 16S ribosomal RNA". It matches the Rfam family "Bacterial small subunit ribosomal RNA", at positions 524 to 776 of the family's 1533-position model. The record is from RNAcentral.